GUGGCGAACGGGUGAGUAACACGUGAGCGAUCUGCCCUUGACUCUGGGAUAACUGCGGGAAACUGUAGCUAAUACCGGAUAUUACCUUGGAAGGCAUCUUCUGGGGUGGAAAGAAUUUUGGUCAAGGAUGAGCUCGCGGCCUAUCAGCUAGUUGGUGAGGUAAUGGCUCACCAAGGCGACGACGGGUAGCCGGCCUGAGAGGGUGACCGGCCACACUGGGACUGAGACACGGCCCAGACUCCUACGGGAGGCAGCAGUGGGGAAUAUUGCACAAUGGGCGCAAGCCUGAUGCAGCAACGCCGCGUGAGGGACGACGGACUUCGGGUUGUAAACCUCUUUUAGUAGGGAAGAAGCGACUGGGUUUUCCUGGGAGUGACGGUACCUGCAGAAAAAGCACCGGCUAACUACGUGCCAGCAGCCGCGGUAAUACGUAGGGUGCAAGCGUUGUCCGGAAUUAUUGGGCGUAAAGAGCUCGUAGGCGGUUUGUCGCGUCUGCUGUGAAAACCCGAGGCUCAACCUCGGGCCUGCAGUGGGUACGGGCAGACUAGAGUGCGGUAGGGGAGAUUGGAAUUCCUGGUGUAGCGGUGGAAUGCGCAGAUAUCAGGAGGAACACCAAUGGCGAAGUCAGAUCUCUGGGCCGUAACUGACGCUGA
Molecule: ribosomal RNA, 653 nt
Filed under: uncultured Cryobacterium sp.
Lineage: Bacteria; Bacillati; Actinomycetota; Actinomycetes; Micrococcales; Microbacteriaceae
Description: bacterial SSU rRNA
Rfam family: Bacterial small subunit ribosomal RNA
Source: RNAcentral